RNAcentral lists this ribosomal RNA (464 nucleotides) under Vreelandella stevensii. Its description in RNAcentral is "partial 16S ribosomal RNA". It matches the Rfam family "Bacterial small subunit ribosomal RNA", at positions 338 to 795 of the family's 1533-position model. The record is from RNAcentral. Lineage: Bacteria; Pseudomonadati; Pseudomonadota; Gammaproteobacteria; Oceanospirillales; Halomonadaceae.
CCUACGGGUGGCAGCAGUGGGGAAUAUUGGACAAUGGGCGAAAGCCUGAUCCAGCCAUGCCGCGUGUGUGAAGAAGGCCUUCGGGUUGUAAAGCACUUUCAGUGGGGACGAAAGCCUUGGGGCUAAUACCCUCGAGGAAGGACAUCACCCACAGAAGAAGCACCGGCUAACUCCGUGCCAGCAGCCGCGGUAAUACGGAGGGUGCGAGCGUUAAUCGGAAUUACUGGGCGUAAAGCGCGCGUAGGCGGUCUGAUAAGCCGGUUGUGAAAGCCCCGGGCUCAACCUGGGAACGGCAUCCGGAACUGUCAGGCUAGAGUGCAGGAGAGGAAGGUAGAAUUCCCGGUGUAGCGGUGAAAUGCGUAGAGAUCGGGAGGAAUACCAGUGGCGAAGGCGGCCUUCUGGACUGACACUGACGCUGAGGUGCGAAAGCGUGGGUAGCAAACAGGAUUAGAUCCCUGGUAGUC